RNAcentral lists this ribosomal RNA (433 nucleotides) under uncultured bacterium. Its description in RNAcentral is "partial 16S ribosomal RNA". It matches the Rfam family "Bacterial small subunit ribosomal RNA", at positions 29 to 507 of the family's 1533-position model. The record is from RNAcentral.
AACGAACGCUGGCGGCAUGCCUAACACAUGCAAGUCGAACGAGACCUUCGGGUCUAGUGGCGCACGGGUGCGUAACGCGUGGGAACCUGCCCUUAGGUUCGGAAUAACUCCCCGAAAGGGGUGCUAAUACCGGAUAAUGUCUUCGGACCAAAGAUUUAUCGCCUUUGGAUGGGCCCGCGUUGGAUUAGCUAGUUGGUAGGGUAAAAGCCUACCAAGGCGACGAGCCAUAGCUGGUCUGAGAGGAUGAUCAGCCACACUGGGACUGAGACACGGCCCAGACUCCUACGGGAGGCAGCAGUGGGGAAUAUUGGACAAUGGGCGAAAGACUGAUCAAGCAAUGCCGCGUGAGUGAUGAAGGCCUUAGGGUUGUAAAGCUCUUUUACCCGGGAUGAUAAUGACAGUACCGGGAGAAUAAGAUCCGGCUAACUCCGUG